GACGAACGCUGGCGGCGUGCUUAACACAUGCAAGUCGAACGGAAAGGCCCUGCUUUUGUGGGGUGCUCGAGUGGCGAACGGGUGAGUAACACGUGAGUAACCUGCCCUUGACUUUGGGAUAACUUCAGGAAACUGGGGCUAAUACCGGAUAGGAGCUCCUGCUGCAUGGUGGGGGUUGGAAAGUUUCGGCGGUUGGGGAUGGACUCGCGGCUUAUCAGCUUGGUGGUGGGGUAGUGGCUUACCAAGGCUUUGACGGGUAGCCGGCCUGAGAGGGUGACCGGCCACAUUGGGACUGAGAUACGGCCCAGACUCCUACGGGAGGCAGCAGUGGGGAAUAGUGCACGAUGGGCGGAAGCCUGAUGCAGCAACGCCGCGUGCGGGAUGACGGCCUUCGGGUUGUAAACCGCUUUCGCCUGUGACGAAGCGUGAGUGACGGUAAUGGGUAAAGAAGCACCGGCUAACUACGUG
This 468-nucleotide ribosomal RNA is filed under the name uncultured bacterium. RNAcentral's name for it is "partial 16S ribosomal RNA". It matches the Rfam family "Bacterial small subunit ribosomal RNA", at positions 28 to 507 of the family's 1533-position model. The record is from RNAcentral.